CUUGUCAAUCCUCUUUCCCGUCCACUCUUCCUGUCAAUGGUUUGAUUUGAAUGACCAAUGGCGGAUUAGUGGAUGUGAAGGAAGACUAG
RNAcentral lists this microRNA precursor (89 nucleotides) under Pristionchus pacificus. Its description in RNAcentral is "mir-2238 microRNA precursor family". It matches the Rfam family "mir-2238 microRNA precursor family". The record is from Rfam by way of RNAcentral. Lineage: Eukaryota; Metazoa; Nematoda; Chromadorea; Rhabditida; Neodiplogasteridae.